This 460-nucleotide ribosomal RNA is filed under the name uncultured bacterium. RNAcentral describes it as "bacterial SSU rRNA". It matches the Rfam family "Bacterial small subunit ribosomal RNA", at positions 335 to 773 of the family's 1533-position model. The record is from RNAcentral.
ACUCCUACGGGAGGCAGCAGUGGGGAAUAUUGGACAAUGGGCGCAAGCCUGAUCCAGCCAUGCCGCGUGUGUGAAGAAGGCCUUUUGGUUGUAAAGCACUUUAAGCGAGGAGGAGGCUCCUUUGAGUUUAAAUACCCUAAAAGUGUAGGUGGGACGUUACUCGCAGAAAUAAGCACCGGCUAACUCUGUGCCAGCAGCCGCGGUAAUACAGAGGGUGCGAGCGUUAAUCGGAUUUACUGGGCGUAAAGCGUGCGUAGGCGGCUUUUUAAGUCGGAUGUGAAAUCCCUGAGCUUAACUUAGGAAUUGCAUUCGAUACUGGAAAGCAUAGAGUAUGGGAGAGGAUGGUAGAAUUCCAGGUGUAGCGGUGAAAUGCGUAGAGAUCUGGAGGAAUACCGAUGGCGAAGGCAGCCAUCUGGCCGUCAAUACGUGACGCUGAGGUACGAAAGCAUGGGGAGCAAAA